This 231-nucleotide ribosomal RNA is filed under the name uncultured bacterium. RNAcentral describes it as "partial 16S ribosomal RNA". It matches the Rfam family "Bacterial small subunit ribosomal RNA", at positions 30 to 267 of the family's 1533-position model. The record is from RNAcentral.
UUGAACGCUGGCGGCAUGCCUUACACAUGCAAGUCGAACGGUAGAGGGGCAACCCUUGAGAGUGGCGAACGGGUGAGUAAUGCAUCGGAACGUGCCCAGUCGUGGGGGAUAACGCAGCGAAAGCUGUGCUAAUACCGCAUGUGAUCUGUGGAUGAAAGCAGGGGACCGCAAGGCCUUGUGCGAUUGGAGCGGCCGAUGUCAGAUUAGCUAGUUGGUAGGGUAAAAAGCCUA